This is a long non-coding RNA of Physeter macrocephalus (sperm whale), 1177 nucleotides long. RefSeq lists it as uncharacterized. The transcript is spliced from 5 exons. Lineage: Eukaryota; Metazoa; Chordata; Mammalia; Artiodactyla; Physeteridae. The record is from RefSeq and is a predicted model, not a curated record.
AGAUAUGAGAAGCCCAGCGCUCUGUCUGCUUUUCGAAAUGGCUUUUGCUGCAGAUGGGAAAAGCCAUCCCAGCUCUGAUUUGGCAGGUCCCGAGGUCAAAUCUUAGAGAGCUGGCACCUAGAAACUCAAAGGCAAGGAGGAGCAGGUGGCUUUGGAAGAGUAAAUGACACUGAAGGUCCCUGCUGAGCAAGGUAUAAGAAGACAGGUAAAGAAACAUCACUGUUAUUGGACCAUGCUUUUUCUCUGUGGCAAAAUAGUACCGAGGCAACCACUGGGACCUUCUGGAAACAGACCACAAGUGAGAGCAACUGCUUGGAUCACACUCUCAGCUCCUGGCUGACCAGCAUUUCCUUUCAUAUACCCUACACAUCUGGGCCCCCGCAGAAAGUACUAGAAAGGACUUGUUCGUGUGACGGCAGAUCCAAGCACCAUCUUCAUGGGGCCAGGUGUCCCAUCUCUUCUAGGAGACAUCCUAAGAAUCACUUUCUUCAGUGACUACUGGGCGCUAACUACCCUGAGAAAUCUGGACAUCCAGUACAGAAGGGAUUUGUGACCCGUGAAACCACCACCACUGGAACCACCGAUGAACCACAGGACUGCGCGGAAGAUUCAGGUGCACGUCUUUUCAUAAUGCCAAUGGUGAGCAUUGUCAAGAUCCAUUCAUACAUCAGGGGCUGCAAAAUGAUGAUAUUCUAUCAUGCCUUCCUUAUUUGCUAGCUGAAUGCUUCUACAAAAAGAAACUUCUCCUCAUCAACUAUUUGGUUACCCUUAAUGGCAGCGUCCAUAUAUACUCCAGUUGCUGAGGCCUCCAUGGACUGCGAACCGUGCAGACAGUCGCCGUCAUUACGUUGCAGAGGUGGGACGGGGGAGAGAGGUUCGCUGCUGCUUCAAGGCCCGGGCCCAGCCAGUGGGUGGCCGUUGAGAGGACGCUGGGGGACACAGCCCUGCGCCUGUCCCCAGGCCCCUCAGCUCCCCUGCUGGCCCCAAGGCAGGAGGACCUGGAGGGCCCAGGGAAGAAGGCCCGAUCUUCCUCUCAACUGCACUCUCUGCCAUGGGGACCACUGCGAGGCUGACUGCCAAGUGGUAUUUUCGUAAAGCUUAGUUGCAAUGUAGAAUGUGAAACCAUCACAUUCAACUUUUCAUAAUUCUGUUACAGUAAACAGUGGUCUAUUUUACC